This 527-nucleotide long non-coding RNA is filed under the name Parus major (Great Tit). RNAcentral describes it as "lncRNA (ENSPMJG00000000264.1)". Lineage: Eukaryota; Metazoa; Chordata; Aves; Passeriformes; Paridae. The record is from RNAcentral.
AUUCUUGAAUGCUAGACUCAGUCCAGCUUCAGUCUAGUUUCCCUCACCUCCCCACUCCAGUGUUGUUGAUGUGGUUGAGGUCAGAGGGGUAAAUAUGAGGUUCAAGGGAUCAGUACUGGAGAAGGAAACAGUGUUUACCUCCAAGUUCUAGAUCCAAGAUGAGAUCAAAAAACGUGACCUGGCGAGGAGCUAUCAAAUGAGCACAGCAAUGGGAGCACAGCAAGAAAUGUUCACUGAUAUUUCUUGGAAUGAAAUUAUAGAUACACUUCUGCAUUUGAAGUAUUAUAGCAAAAAGAACUCCUUCAAGGUGAAUUUAACAACCAGACUGAGGGACUCUGCUAAUUCACUUUAUUCUGGUCUCAUCCCUGAUGGAAAGGACAAGAGUUGACAAUGAGCGUACAUCCCAAACCUGUCAACGAGUGGCAGGGGGUGGCACUGCCUGUCACAUCUCUGCUUUUGGAAAAGAUCAGAACCCUGAUGGUGCAGCCAUACUGCAGCUUCCAUAGCAAAUCUCAGACAAAAUGUUC